UGAAGCGGGGUGGCAACGCCGUCUUGUCUUUCAACAGCUUUUGCACGUGCUGUACAUGCGCACGUUUCUCGCUGCAAAACAUAACUUUUUUGAUUCAAAAAAUAUUUCAAAAUGAGCAGCAUUUCGACCGAGUUCGAAGUUCAGUCCUCGCUGCCAGACGCCGAGGCCGCGAGCAUGGAAUUUCAAUCGAGCAACGAUGAAGGCAGCAAUAAGGAAAAUGAGGAAACGCUCGAGAUUACGCAGGAAGAUGCCCAGGAAACGUGCAGCAGCCUGUUGGAGCUCGUGUGCGAUAGAAAGCAGAAGACCAAGGACAUCUGCCAGGCCUGGAUCAGGUUAUAUACGUACUCGCCGGAAGCUGCGCUGUUGAAGUUCAUGCAGUUCGUGCUGGAGGCCAGUGGCAGUCAGUAUCAAAUACCUGAUAGACUGGGUAUACCCUUUGACUUCAGCGACAUGCUGAUUGCGGCCACGGCACACUUUGGCAAUAAGAGCUUGUUGUAUCCGCUGAUUAUGAAAUCGGGCAACUCCUUCGCCCGGAACGUGUGCUACUUUGUGCAGUAUCUAAUGCGCCUGCUGCACACCACUUCGCUCAUUCUGGACGAUGUCCUGCUGAAGAAUCUGGCCGGCUUUGUCAUGGUCUGCGCCGACUCGAAGGUGCGCGCCUUUAGGCACACCUGCACCCUAAUUGGACUCAAGAUGAUGACCACGCUGUGCGCCACGGUUUUGCUGGAUAGCGAGCAGGUCAAGGAUAUUUGGCUGCAAUUGUUUGCCAGCGUCUUCUUGGAGCGCUCCGGCGAUGUCGUUGAUGAGAUACGCUAUCUGUGCUUGGUCGAGUGCGGCAUUUGGCUGGAGAAGUAUCCGCAGUGCUAUCUGAAUCCGGAUCAUGUGAAGCAUCUGUUCCAGCCGCUGCAGGACAACUCGCGCAAGGUGAUCGAGUGCUGCUUCCAGGCGCUGUCCAAGCUGUGGCAUAAUCCGAAGCUGCGACCCGUUUGCUUGGAGCAGGGCGCCAAGUACCGCAUGACCCUGCUGGGCCUGACCAUGAGCGCUGAGAGCGAACUGGGCCAGAUGGCCAUACAGCUGCUGGGGCUGUUCUACAGGGCAAAUCCGUUGCUGCUCGACGAGUCCAUGCUGCAGGUCGUCGAGCAGCUCGUCUUUGCGGCGCAUCGUGGCGUGGCCCAGGCCGCCGCCGACCUGGUGCCCUACCGUUAUCAGGAGACGGCGAGCACGGAGCAGGAGCGCAUUCUGAUCCUGGUGCAGUUCUUCGUACGCUUCGGUGAGCACGAGCAUGCCGCCUACCUGGUGGACGCCUUCUACGGCCGCAACGACAUCGUGUUGGCCUGGUCCAGCAUGGUCUCCAUGCUGCUGCAGCCCGAUUCGCUAAGCGAGCCAGAGACCUCGGCGCUUAUUGAGAUCUUGACGCAAGCCGUUAAGCAGGCGGUCACGGGCGAGAUACCGCCGGGCCGUUACACCAAGGAUCUGGUGCGUCAAGCCCAGCCGAACGCCAAGAAGCUGGCCACGCGAGCUCUGCUGUCCAAGUUGCCCGCCCUGUUGCGCCAGUAUCGCAGCUCUGAGCGGGAUCUGAGCAAUCUGCUGGAGCUGGCGCAGUUCAUGAUCAUGCAGAAGGCGCAGUUCCAGGAGCUGCUCGAACAGAUCAAGGACAUUAUGUUCGAGCCGGAGGCACUCUCCGUGCUGCAAAUGGGCGCCAUGACGCUGGAGCAUUUGUACGGCCUGAAUGCCAGCUGCCUGAAUCAUCGCAAGGAGCUGCUCAACAAUGCGGUUACCAACUACAUGAUUGCCACUGCCGCCUGGGAGCAGUCGCUGGCGGGCACCUCGAGGCUGUCCGAGAAGGAUAAUGCCAAGCGUCUCAUGGAUACGCUGCGUCUGCUCGCCACGCUCUAUGCACGCUUCGAUCUCAACGAUUGGCAGCUGAGCGACAAGGUCUUGGCUACGCUGGAGCAUGUUCUAGAGGAGCGGGACUCCCGACUGCCGGAUGAGUCGGUUUCGCUGUACUUAACAAUUGUCUACGUCUCGCUCUCCUGGGAUCUUAAGCGCAACAGGGAUGCAGCCAAAGCUGGCCGGAAAGUGGCUGAGGAGUGCCGCGCCUUGCGUCGUCGCAUGGAAGGCUUUCUCUCCGUUAACUUCCGCCUGAUCGAGCACACGUCCAUGAUGCAAGUGGGCUGCGAUGCCUUCAGCUUUACCUGUGAUAUCUUUGUGCUAUUCGCCGAUCCGCUGCGCCCGAACAGCUGCGACUCGAUUCGCGCCCUGGAAUACAAAUCCAAAAUAAGCGAGUACGAGUUGAUCGAGAGCUUUGCACUGCGCUUUGCAUUCGAUGAAGAUGCCGCCGCGCUGCUGGCACCGGACAUGUUUUCACUGCUCCAGAGCAAACGGCGCGUCCUGGCCAGCUACUGUAAGCUGGUCUUUCACAACGUGAUGCCCGUGAUGCGCUCUUGCAUUGUGCUGCAGUAUUACGAGCGUUACAAUCCGGUCUUUGGUGACAUUCUGCGUGCCACUCUGGAGCGCUGCUUGUCUGUGAAUCCCGUCAACUGUGGCAUGACCGUGAUGCACACCUGCUUGCUGGUCUACAAACGCGUUCGAGACGCAUAUCCAAAUGCAGUUGAGGCGGCUGCCUCCACGGAUUUCGCGGAUCUACUUAAGCUGGCCAACUUGCUGGCAGAACCUUUCAAUGCCAAGCAGCUGGAAGUACGCUCCGGCGUGGUUAUACUGCAUCGUGCGGGCAUUCGAUAUGCCGCGGAGAUCAUGCCCGAUGAUCCGACCAGUCCGCCCGAAAAUCUACUCUAUCUGAGUGUGCUGCAGCAGUUUGUGCCGCAACUGCUCGCCCAAGAUAUGCUGGAUAUGCUCAAGUUUGUCCAGUUCAUCGAUCAGGUGGCCUUGCCCACCAGCCGAGCCGACGAGUGGCAGCCUCUCGUGGCCUAUCGCAACGCCCUGGAAAUAGCUCUCGUCCAGAGCUGUCGCCGUGAUGAUCUCUCCAAUCUGCCCAACUAUGCGGUGGAUUACUGCGCGGAAAUGCUCAUUGCAAAGUUCAUGUUAGCUGCCAAGUGAACAUAAAUUCUAUUAAGACGUAAUAACUAGGAGCAUAAAUUUACCAAAUGUAUAAAUAUGCUCAGUGGAUAAACAAACCUGGGCCCUCAAUAUGCCAAGAAGAUAAAUUGGCUAAAAUGAUUAGAAAAUAAAUGUGGCAAGUGGAUAAUUGUACGAUAAAACAACAUGAACAAAGAGGUUGAAUGUGCUAAGAGGAUAGAUGUACCAUGAGUAUAAAUGUGAUUAGAGCAUUAAUGUGUAAUAAUUGGAAACGGAUUGACAAUGAGUACGGCUGGCAAAGAGCCUUUGAGAAUAACUGUGUUAGCAACAAGAUUUACAAUGAGCAAACAUUUACAAGGAGGAUAAAUUUCGCCAAAGUCAAAUCGGGCGGCACUUCAAAGAGAGCGCGAGAGCCGAGAGUUCACUUUACAAAACAUACUUAACGUAAUCUGCGCCGACUUAUGGAUAAUAUUGUACUGCAAAGAAUAUGAGCAACAACAACAACAACAAGAGACACUUGUCGAGAGACAAGGAAAACAACAACAACAACAGGAACAACAAGCAGAGAGAGGAUCUUAUGCUAAUGGCGCGUACCAAAAUAAAAACUCGAGUCGAGGAAAAUGCAAAGCGGAAAAAAAACAGGCGGCAGGCAAUUCAUAAAAAUUUACAUACAUUACGCCGAGUGUUAGAGGGUUCAAGCGCGGGAUCGCGGGUUCGAGGAUCCCCAAUAAAAAUUAGAGUGCUGCAAGCCGAUUCGAAAGUGGAAGUGGAAGUGGAACCAACCCCCAAAAAGAGAGAGACAAUACUCUUGUUUUCAUAAAUUUGGCCAUAGAUCAGAUCAUAGAUCAACAGUUGCUUGUGGCCGGAGGGGCGUGGCACGUGUUGAGAUCAUAAAUCAUGGCCGCAUAAUUGACGCGAAUGCAACUGCACGAGACACCCUCCAGUUGCAGCACUAUAUAAGUAUAUAUGCAAAUGAUGUAUUAUGAAAAUGGAAUAUGGAAACUGGAAGUGCCAUAAUUGCGCCCAUUUUUGGACCCCCCGAUAAGGUGCCUCGAUUAUGAGAACUUCUAGGAGCUGAGAGCGUAGGCAACACCAACUAGUUACUGCAAGUAGGCAUGCGGCAUAAAUCAUUGGAGACAUUUAAAUAGCGUCUAAAUACAUACCUACAUCAUACCAUACAUCAAAAAUGAUUGAGAGUGCGUGCUGUCAAUGGAAUGAUUGUAGUUUCUGGCCUAAGAUUGCGUUCAACUCAAAUAAUUGAAAUUAACAGGAUGCUGGCAUAUAUUGUGGAAAUGGAAUAUGUAGAAAAAGAACUCUUGAGAAGCCCUGAGUUGAGCGUUUCUCGUGUUUGCUUGCGUGACACGAACACACACGACUCCUUACGACUUUUAAUUGAUAAAGUGAAUUUAUAAUUUAGUAUAAACUAAUUGCAAAAUAGGGACGUGCGCACUCGUGUCACGACACGCGCCCACCUCUAGAAGAGAUUGCAUGAUUAAAAAAGUACCUAGACCCGAUAUUGGGUUGGAAUAUUAUCAAAAAGAAUAAAAACUAAAUAGGCAAAAACAAUCGACCCAAUCUGUAGCAUCUACUACACGAAAGCUCGACUCAAUCACAACCCAGACUGGAACUCGCAAAUUAUAUAUAAGAUUCGGAUCUUAAGAAAUAAAAUCAUUUCAAAUUAUUAACUCAGCAA
This is an RNA transcript of Drosophila virilis, 4729 nucleotides long. It is a transcript of the gene named Stromalin 2, with no coding region annotated. Lineage: Eukaryota; Metazoa; Arthropoda; Insecta; Diptera; Drosophilidae. The record is from RefSeq and is a predicted model, not a curated record.